RNAcentral lists this ribosomal RNA (253 nucleotides) under uncultured bacterium. RNAcentral describes it as "partial 16S ribosomal RNA". It matches the Rfam family "Bacterial small subunit ribosomal RNA", at positions 524 to 776 of the family's 1533-position model. The record is from RNAcentral.
UACGGAGGAUCCAAGCGUUAUCCGGAAUCAUUGGGUUUAAAGGGUCCGUAGGCGGUUUGGUAAGUCAGUGGUGAAAGCCCAUCGCUCAACGGUGGAACGGCCAUUGAUACUGCCAGACUUGAAUUAUUAGGAAGUAACUAGAAUAUGUAGUGUAGCGGUGAAAUGCUUAGAGAUUACAUGGAAUACCAAUUGCGAGGGCAGGUUACUACUAAUGGAUUGACGCUGAUGGACGAAAGCGUGGGUAGCGAACAGG